Molecule: ribosomal RNA, 460 nt
Filed under: uncultured bacterium
Lineage: Bacteria
Description: partial 16S ribosomal RNA
Rfam family: Bacterial small subunit ribosomal RNA
Source: RNAcentral
CCUACGGGAGGCAGCAGUGAGGAAUAUUGGUCAAUGGGCUUACGCCUGAACCAGCCAAGUCGCGUGAGGGAAGACUGCCCUAUGGGUUGUAAACCUCUUUUGUCAGGGAGCAACGCCGGCUACGUGUAGCCGGACUGAGAGUACCUGAAGAAAAAGCAUCGGCUAACUCCGUGCCAGCAGCCGCGGUAAUACGGAGGAUGCGAGCGUUAUCCGGAUUUAUUGGGUUUAAAGGGUGCGUAGGCGGAAUGCCAAGUCAGCGGGAAAAUCGCGGGGCUCAACCUCGCUCCGCCGUUGAAACUGGCGUUCUUGAGUGCGCGAGAAGUAUGCGGAAUGCGUGGUGUAGCGGUGAAAUGCAUAGAUAUCACGCAGAACUCCGAUUGCGAAGGCAGCAUACCGGCGCCCAACUGACGCUGAAGCACGAAAGCGUGGGUAUCGAACAGGAUUAGAUACCCCGGUAGUC